UACAGAGGUCUCAAGCGUUGUUCGGAUUCAUUGGGCGUAAAGGGUGCGUAGGUGGCGCCGUAAGUCAGGUGUGAAAUUUCGGAGCUUAACUCCGAAACUGCAUUUGAUACUGCGGUGCUUGAGGACUGGAGAGGAGACUGGAAUUUACGGUGUAGCAGUGAAAUGCGUAGAUAUCGUAAGGAAGACCAGUGGCGAAGGCGAGUCUCUGGACAGUUACUGACGCUGAGGCACGAAGGCCAGGGGAGCAAACGGG
RNAcentral lists this ribosomal RNA (253 nucleotides) under uncultured bacterium. RNAcentral's name for it is "partial 16S ribosomal RNA". It matches the Rfam family "Bacterial small subunit ribosomal RNA", at positions 524 to 776 of the family's 1533-position model. The record is from RNAcentral.